AGAGUUUGAUCCUGGCUCAGGAUGAACGCUGGCGGCGUGCUUAACACAUGCAAGUCGAACGGUGAUGACCAGCUUGCUGGUCGGAUCAGUGGCGAACGGGUGAGUAACACGUGAGUAACCUGCCCCAGACUCUGGGAUAAGCCUUGGAAACGAGGUCUAAUACUGGAUAUGAGAUGCCCCUGCAUGGGGAGUGUCUGGAAAGAUUUAUCGGUCUGGGAUGGACUCGCGGCCUAUCAGCUUGUUGGUGGGGUAAUGGCCUACCAAGGCGACGACGGGUAGCCGGCCUGAGAGGGCGACCGGCCACACUGGGACUGAGACACGGCCCAGACUCCUACGGGAGGCAGCAGUGGGGAAUAUUGCACAAUGGGCGCAAGCCUGAUGCACCGACGCCGCGUGAGGGAUGAAGGCCUUCGGGUUGUAAACCUCUUUCAGCAGGGAAGAAGCGCAAGUGACGGUACCUGCAGAAGAAGCGCCGGCUAACUACGUGCCAGCAGCCGCGGUAAUACGUAGGGCGCAAGCGUUGUCCGGAAUUAUUGGGCGUAAAGAGCUCGUAGGCGGUUUGUCGCGUCUGGUGUGAAAACUCAAGGCUCAACCUGAGCUUGCAUCGGGUACGGGCAGACUAGAGUGCGGUAGGGGUGACUGGAAUUCCUGGUGUAGCGGUGGAAUGCGCAGAUAUCAGGAGGAACACCGAUGGCGAAGGCAGGUCACUGGGCCGCAACUGACGCUGAGGAGCGAAAGCAUGGGGAGCGAACAGGAUUAGAUACCCUGGUAGUCCAUGCCGUAAACGUUGGGCACUAGGUGUGGGGCUCAUUCCACGAGUUCCGUGCCGCAGCAAACGCAUUAAGUGCCCCGCCUGGGGAGUACGGCCGCAAGGCUAAAACUCAAAGGAAUUGACGG
RNAcentral lists this ribosomal RNA (897 nucleotides) under Oerskovia sp. C4BS7_pA. Its description in RNAcentral is "bacterial SSU rRNA". It matches the Rfam family "Bacterial small subunit ribosomal RNA", at positions 8 to 916 of the family's 1533-position model. The record is from RNAcentral. Lineage: Bacteria; Bacillati; Actinomycetota; Actinomycetes; Micrococcales; Cellulomonadaceae.